Perca fluviatilis (European perch) is the source of this 788-nucleotide long non-coding RNA. RefSeq lists it as uncharacterized. The record is from RefSeq and is a predicted model, not a curated record. The transcript is spliced from 4 exons. Lineage: Eukaryota; Metazoa; Chordata; Actinopteri; Perciformes; Percidae.
UUUCAUUCAGGGAAGGAGAAGCGAAAAAGCCUUCAAGCAGAGCCCACUCCGGCUCAGCCAUUCUCCCUGUGUGCCUGUCCCCUUGUCUCUGCUGCCGGGGCUGAUUGACCAGCCCUUCCGACAGCCCGGCUGCCAGCCCGCCUGGACGCCUCCAUAGCACCCAUGCUUGUUACUGUGAGCACCGCUAGCUGCCUCGUGGCCUCUGACGUUUGUGUGGAAAGGAGAGGAUGUGCGCAACCUUCCUGUUCUACACCAGCUCUGGGGUCUUGACCCUCCUAAAACUACUCGAGAAAAGAAAUCUUUGGGAUCUGUCACAACCAUCCACCUCCUGUUGUAUGCAGGGAACACAGCAACCUCUUCUGGACAAAUGUGAAAGUGGCAGAGGGUGAUGAAGCCAACCUAACAGAAACUGGAAAAGUCCUGGACCCCCAAGAAUGGACAAAGACACAAAACAGAGAAAAAGGACACAAAACAUUGGCUUGAGAUGAGACCGCACUCUCCCAGCCUCAGCCACCGCUAUCCCUGCCGAGAAAUGGUAACUCAUGCACACACUUCUAUGUGAUUUUGAUUUUAACCACAAAAUGGAAGCAUUUAUUAAAACAAGCAUUGAUUCUUUAGGCAAUGUGAGUAAAGAUGUUCAGACAGGUACAACUAUCAAAAACUGAUAUCAACAUCAGACAAUGAUAACAAUUUUAGUGCAUCAUGAAAUAAUAGCAAUAUUACAAAGGAAUACAAACCAACCAAACAACUUAAGGUUGGAUAAAUUACACACUUAUAUGAACACUCUG